This 492-nucleotide ribosomal RNA is filed under the name uncultured bacterium. RNAcentral describes it as "partial 16S ribosomal RNA". It matches the Rfam family "Bacterial small subunit ribosomal RNA", at positions 29 to 507 of the family's 1533-position model. The record is from RNAcentral.
AGUGAACGCUGGCGGUAGGCCUAACACAUGCAAGUCGAACGGCAGCACAGUAAGAGCUUGCUCUUACGGGUGGCGAGUGGCGGACGGGUGAGGAAUACAUCGGAAUCUACUUUUUCGUGGGGGAUAACGUAGGGAAACUUACGCUAAUACCGCAUACGACCUACGGGUGAAAGCAGGGGAUCUUCGGACCUUGCGCGAUUGAAUGAGCCGAUGUCGGAUUAGCUAGUUGGCGGGGUAAAGGCCCACCAAGGCGACGAUCCGUAGCUGGUCUGAGAGGAUGAUCAGCCACACUGGAACUUAGACACGGUCCAGACUCCUACGGGAGGCAGCAGUGGGGAAUAUUGGACAAUGGGCGCAAGCCUGAUCCAGCCAUACCGCGUGGGUGAAGAGGGCCUUCGGGUUGUAAAGCCCUUUUGUUGGGAAAGAAAAGCAGCAGGUUAAUACCCCGCUGUUCUGACGGUACCCAAAGAAUAAGCACCGGCUAACUUCGUG